Molecule: ribosomal RNA, 253 nt
Filed under: uncultured bacterium
Lineage: Bacteria
Description: partial 16S ribosomal RNA
Rfam family: Bacterial small subunit ribosomal RNA
Source: RNAcentral
UACGUAGGUGGCAAGCGUUAUCCGGAUUUACUGGGUGUAAAGGGCGUGUAGGCGGGGAAGCAAGUCAGAUGUGAAAACCACGGGCUCAACCUGUGGCCUGCAUUUGAAACUGUUUUUCUUGAGUGCUGGAGAGGCAAUCGGAAUUCCGUGUGUAGCGGUGAAAUGCGUAGAUAUACGGAGGAACACCAGUGGCGAAGGCGGAUUGCUGGACAGUAACUGACGCUGAGGCGCGAAGGCGUGGGGAGCAAACAGG